GACGAACGCUGGCGGCGUGCUUAACACAUGCAAGUCGAACGGUGAAGCGCCUUCCUUUUUGGUGGGUGUGGAUGAGUGGCGAACGGGUGAGUAACACGAGAGUAACCUGCCCCCUUCUUCUGGAUAACCGCAUGAAAGUGUGGCUAAUACGGGAUAUUCUGGGUCUGUCGCAUGAUGGGUCUGGGACAGCUAUUGUUUCGGUGCGGGAUGGGCGCGCGGCCGAUCAGCUUGUUGGUGGGGUGCUGGCCUACCAGGGCGGUGCCGGGUAGCCGGCCUGAGAGGGUGGAGGGCCGAGCGGGGACGGGGACACGGCGCGGACGACUACGGGAGGCAGCAGUGGGGGAGGGUGGAGGAGGGGCGCAAGCCGGAUGGGGCGGCGCCGCGUGAGGGAUGGAGGCCGUCGGGUUGUGAAGCUCUUGCGCCAGUGAAGCAGGCCGGCGGCGGUUGUGGGUGGGUGGACGGUAGGUGGAUAAGAAGCGCGGGCGAACUAGGG
This 493-nucleotide ribosomal RNA is filed under the name uncultured bacterium. Its description in RNAcentral is "partial 16S ribosomal RNA". It matches the Rfam family "Bacterial small subunit ribosomal RNA", at positions 28 to 506 of the family's 1533-position model. The record is from RNAcentral.